UAUCUCAAUCUAAUAUGGCG
This 20-nucleotide microRNA is filed under the name Spodoptera frugiperda (fall armyworm). RNAcentral describes it as "sfr-miR-10474-3p". Lineage: Eukaryota; Metazoa; Arthropoda; Insecta; Lepidoptera; Noctuidae. The record is from miRBase by way of RNAcentral.